GAAAAAAAUAAAGAAAAAGCUGACCAACCAAUUCUAGUUACUUUACACUUGCCCUGCCCCUUGAAGAAGAAAGGAACUCUAUAAAUAAAGGCCAAAGUGUACCAUACAUAGGCUUGAGCACGCAACUCGUAGUCCCCAACACAUCUUCUAAUCUCUCUUCCCAACUCUUCUUCUAAACCAAACCAAACCCAGAAUGGUACGACCUUCGCCUGAACCCACCAAGCCCUCCACCAUCAAGUUCCUCUGCAGCUACGGUGGCAAAAUCCUCCCCCGUUAUCCCGACGGCAAGCUUCGUUAUCUCGGGGGCGAAACCCGCGUCCUCGCCGUAAACCGCAACAUUUCCUUUUCCGAGCUGUUGUUGAAGCUGGGUGAGCUGUGUGGGCCCUCCGUGACCGUGAGCCUACGUUGUCAGUUGCCCACCGAGGAUCUCGACGCCCUUGUGUCCAUCAAGUCCGAUGAGGAUCUGGCCAAUCUCAUCGAAGAAUACGACAGAGCAGCCGCCUCUGCAUCUCCACCGCCUUUUGCCAAUUUGAAGAUCAGAGCCUUCCUUUCCCUCGUCCCUCCCAAACCACACAAAACGCCGUCGUCUACGCCGUCUUCCUCGGCCUCAGCCUCCACGACGUCGUCCUCCGGCACUUCCUCCUCGUCUAACUACUACUACUACAGCGCUGCUGCUUCCGGGUCCACUCCCAGGUUCCCCAUGGUGUCCACGGCAGUUGACCGCUGUGUCCGCCAAAUCUCACAGGCUACGACGCCGUUUCAGAAAUCAGCUGCCAAGGUUCCUCACUGUGCUGAUAUUUGCCAUGCUCAUGGAAGCCCUAGUAGUCGGCUCUAUCUCAUUCACAACGGCAACCACUGGCAAUAACAACACAUGUGACACUCUCGGAGUCUCGGACUGAGUACUAUAAAUAUAUAUGCCACGGCGGGUUAAAUACUACAAAUUAAAUACUACCAGACAACUCCCCUUCCCUCUCCCCCCAACCCCACGAAGGAGAAAAUACGAACCAAAAAAGAAGAAGAUCAAUUAUCGUAUAGUAUUUGAUCAUAUGAUGUAAUGGGAUUGGCGCUAGAGCUGUAAUCGUUCAUAUGGAUUGCUUUUCAGUAUCCGUGGCGAUUAAUGAAUUUCAGUCCAAUUUCGUUUUUUCAUGUGCAUGUGUUCAUUCAUGAAUCAUGCAAGCAGGUUGAUGCUGAUCGGGGAGACGGACAAAGCUUUCAAUUUUUUGACUCAACCAGCAGAAUGUAUAGAUUCGAUCGACGGGAUUGGAUGGGAUGGGUUGGGAAGGCAGGCAGAACUGGAGUCUCGAGAAACAGCGAUAGAGUUGGAAGCAUCGGAAUCUUUAUUGAUGGAAUUGGGGAGAAACCCAUAAAAAUACAUUCUGUCCCAUACGUGACAGCUGGUGCUCGUUGCCUAGCUACUACUGGUUCAUGAAGCUGCACGUAAUUAGUUUAACAUAAGAUAUUUAAACCCUAAAUAUAAAAACGAAUAAAUGAAAAUAAAUAAUAGAAAAUCACAGAUGACAGCUGCUGAUAGAGAUUUGAAAAGAGGCCGUCCGCAGUCCACUCACGUAGCAUUCACAAGGGAUGAGAUGAGAUUCCCUUGGCCCUUCAUUUCAGAUGUAGGGAGACAAAUCUGAAAGAGAUUUGAUGGAGCAUUGUUAGGUAUCGUGUGGGUAAUAUUUAAUUAAUUAAGGGAUAA
Molecule: RNA transcript, 1696 nt
Organism: Prunus dulcis (almond)
Lineage: Eukaryota; Viridiplantae; Streptophyta; Magnoliopsida; Rosales; Rosaceae
Exons: 4
Source: RefSeq, a predicted model, not a curated record